Molecule: ribosomal RNA, 476 nt
Filed under: uncultured bacterium
Lineage: Bacteria
Description: bacterial SSU rRNA
Rfam family: Bacterial small subunit ribosomal RNA
Source: RNAcentral
GGACGAACGCUGGCGGCGUGCUUAACACAUGCAAGUCGAGCGAUGAAGCUUCUUCGGAAGUGGAUUAGCGGCGGACGGGUGAGUAACACGUGGGUAACCUGCCUCAUAGAGGGGAAUAGCCUUCCGAAAGGAAGAUUAAUACCGCAUAAGAUUGUAAUAUCGCAUGAUAUAGCAAUUAAAGGAGUAAUCCGCUAUGAGAUGGACCCGCGUCGCAUUAGCUAGUUGGUGAGGUAACGGCUCACCAAGGCGACGAUGCGUAGCCGACCUGAGAGGGUGAUCGGCCACAUUGGGACUGAGACACGGCCCAGACUCCUACGGGAGGCAGCAGGUGGGGAAUAUUGCACAAUGGGGGAAACCCUGAUGCAAGCAACGCCGCGUGAGUGAUGACGGUCUUCGGAUUGUAAAGCUCUGUCUUCAGGGACGAUAAUGACGGUACCUGAGGAGGAAGCCACGGCUAACUACGUGCCAGCCGCCGC